RNAcentral lists this ribosomal RNA (874 nucleotides) under Ustilentyloma graminis. RNAcentral describes it as "LSU rRNA". It matches the Rfam family "Eukaryotic large subunit ribosomal RNA", at positions 74 to 965 of the family's 3401-position model. Lineage: Eukaryota; Fungi; Basidiomycota; Microbotryomycetes; Microbotryales; Ustilentylomataceae. The record is from RNAcentral.
AUUCCCCUAGUAGCGGCGAGCGAAGCGGGAAGAGCUCAAAUUUAUAAUCUGGCACCUUCGGUGUCCGAGUUGUAAUCUCUAGAAGUGUUUUCCGCGUUGGACCGCACACAAGUCUGUUGGAAUACAGCGGCAUAGUGGUGAAACCCCCGUAUAUGGUGCGGACGCCCAGCGCUUUGUGAUACACUUUCAAUGAGUCGAGUUGUUUGGGAAUGCAGCUCAAAUUGGGUGGUAAAUUCCAUCUAAAGCUAAAUAUUGGCGAGAGACCGAUAGCGAACAAGUACCGUGAGGGAAAGAUGAAAAGCACUUUGGAAAGAGAGUUAACAGUACGUGAAAUUGUUGGAAGGGAAACGCUUGAAGUCAGACUUGCUUGCCGGAGCUUGCUUCGGUUUGCAGGCCAGCAUCAGUUUUCCGGGGUGGAUAAUGACGGUUUGAAGGUAGCAGUCUCGGCUGUGUUAUAGCUUUCCGUUGGAUACAUCCUGGGGGACUGAGGAACGCAGCGUGCUUUUUGCGAAAGACUCGUCUUUUUCACGCUUAGGAUGCUGGUGGAAUGGCUUUAAACGACCCGUCUUGAAACACGGACCAAGGAGUCUAACAUGCUCGCGAGUAUUUGGGUGUCAAACCCGGAUGCGCAAUGAAAGUGAAUGUAGGUGGGAACCGCAAGGUGCACCAUCGACCGAUCUGGAUUUUUUAAGAUGGAUUUGAGUAAGAGCGCGUAUGUUGGGACCCGAAAGAUGGUGAACUAUGCCUGAAUAGGGCGAAGCCAGAGGAAACUCUGGUGGAGGCUCGUAGCGGUUCUGACGUGCAAAUCGAUCGUCAAAUUUGGGUAUAGGGGCGAAAGACUAAUCGAACCAUCUAGUAGCUGGUUCCUGCCGAG